Pelobates cultripes (western spadefoot toad) is the source of this 987-nucleotide non-coding RNA. The record is from the annotation of a GenBank genome assembly. Lineage: Eukaryota; Metazoa; Chordata; Amphibia; Anura; Pelobatidae.
CUCCAAAGUCCUUGAGUAGAGUUAGUUAAAUAGUAUAUCGAUUGAGGUCAACUAUAACUAAAUUCUCCAAGUCUCUCAAUUCUAACCCUUGUAGUCUGGUAAACUUCUAUAGCUACCUCUUCCUGCACCUUUAUGGGCGCUAAAUAAUCAGUCACUCUAACAGUGGCGGCUCUAGAAUGUGUGAGGCCUUAGGCCAAACUAAAACAUGAGGCCCCCACUGACAAAGUUAGUGUUUGGAGGAGGGUUUGUGACAGAACGAGGGGACAUGAGUGUGACAAGAUUAAGGCAGGUUAAUGUGGCACAAUUAGAGUCAUUAAUGUGAGUGUGGCAGGGUGAAGAGGGUGAAUGAGACAGGCUGAUAGAGGAUAAGUGUGACAGGGUUGGGGGUGAGUGUGACAGUGCGAGAGAACGUGAGUCUGGCAGGAUUGGGUGGGGCGUUAAUGUGAUAGGGUGAGUGUGGCAAAGUGAGGGCGGGUGAGUUUGGUAUGGUUGGAGGGGGUGAGAGUGACAGGAUUUGGAGGGGUUAAUGUGAGUGGGACUGGAUGAAGGGGGCUGUGACAGGGUGGUGGGCUGUGACAGGGAUGGGGGCUGUGACAAGGUAGGGGGGCUGUGAAAAGGUAGGGGGGACUGUGACAGGGUUGGAGGGCUGUGAAAAGGUGGAGGGGCGAUGACAGGGUAGGGGGGCUGUGGCAGAGUAGGGGGGCUGUGGAGAGGCUGUGACAGGGUUGGGGGACUGUGGCAAGGUGGAGGGGAUGUGACAGGGUGAGGGGGCUGUGAUAGGAUUGGGGGGCUGUGACAGGCAAUAGGGGGCUGUGACAGGGUAGGGGGUCUUUUAUAUCUUCCCUGGUGGUCUGGUGGAUUCCCUUGGUGGUCUGGUGGGCUGGUUCUCUGGUCUGCAGCCCUGCUGGGUGCAGAGCUGCAGACCACAUGAUAGGAGUCUCGUGAUCUAUUGUCAGAGUGUUGCCGUGGUAACCUCCAGCUACGCAC